Molecule: non-coding RNA, 103 nt
Organism: Glossina austeni
Lineage: Eukaryota; Metazoa; Arthropoda; Insecta; Diptera; Glossinidae
Source: Rfam
UACACGCAUUAGGGGUGCUCUAGAAAAGCUGAGAGUACAUAAAGUACAACCCUUUGAACCUGGUAUUGUUAAAGCAAGCGUAGGAAAAUGUAUGUAUAUAAAU